Molecule: long non-coding RNA, 203 nt
Filed under: Hordeum vulgare
Lineage: Eukaryota; Viridiplantae; Streptophyta; Magnoliopsida; Poales; Poaceae
Description: long non-coding RNA (HVUL_LNC012023)
Source: RNAcentral
UGUUUUGAUUGCUGUCAAAAAGAUUCAGAACAAAGACAGAAAUUCAGGUGCAGGAAUUUUCACUAAGUCCCUGAGAUCUGAUGGUUUUGGGAACGUUUGUGGCCUUGUAUCUUCUAGUGUUUAAUUCGUUUUGCUGUGAUUCUUGCUGGUGCUUGUAGUGUUCUUGGUUGGCUAUAGCCAGAUAUAUUAUUUGUCAUAUUUAG